CCUGCCUGGUCGGCUCUGCGGUUCCUGCUCUGCGUUGACCGGUGCCCUGCGGCCGGGGUUCAACGCGCCUGGCCCAGCUCAGCUCACUGACAGACGCAGGGAGGAGUGUCUCCAAGCGACUGUCCUGGGCCGCUCUCUUUCCUCGCGGAACCUGGGCUGCCGGGGGCGGAGGCGUGGCCCUGCGCGCCGCAGCCCAUCUCGGUGCCGGUCAUAACUCGGAGUCCGCAGAUCGCUGACGGCUACGAGCCGACAACCACCAGGACCUCGAGGUGCUGAGGACCUGUAUUGGGCAGGGCCCUUAUAUGUGUGACUGAUCGGGGCUUAAAUGGUGAGCCCUAGGCUUCCUGUUAAGUUCCACUCACUUCACAGGUCAUCCUGACUCUUGAAUCUUCAUCUUAACACCUGCCGUCUUUGAGUCUCCUGCGGCUAUUAAUAGCCAACUUCUUGAGCACCCAAGUGACUGCUGGAGGCCGAGAAGCAAGAAACUCCAGGAAAAAAAAAAAAAGAUGACAGAAAGAACACACAAACUCAUAAAGCUUACAAAUUAGUUUAACAUGAAAAACACCAGUCAGAUCCAACUGACACAAGGCACUCAGCCUGACUCUGCAUGGUGGACAGGGGACAGAACAGAGCUCUGGGGUCAGAGAACUCAGAGUUUCAAAUCACUGUCCCUUUCUGAGCCUCAGUUUACUUAUUUGAAAAGCAAUAAUAAUAAAAUCUAACUCCCAAAA
This is a long non-coding RNA of Callorhinus ursinus (northern fur seal), 731 nucleotides long. RefSeq lists it as uncharacterized. The record is from RefSeq and is a predicted model, not a curated record. NCBI's taxonomy places the organism in Eukaryota, Metazoa, Chordata, Mammalia, Carnivora, Otariidae.